This is a long non-coding RNA of Mugil cephalus (flathead mullet), 2027 nucleotides long. RefSeq lists it as uncharacterized. Lineage: Eukaryota; Metazoa; Chordata; Actinopteri; Mugiliformes; Mugilidae. The transcript has 2 exons. The record is from RefSeq and is a predicted model, not a curated record.
CUGAUGUUGGUCCUGUGUUUACUCUGGUGAGCAUUCAUGCGGUUCGCACCAGAGUUCCCUUACAAGCAAACAGAGACCCUCCUUUCCAAGUGGACCAGAGUUUAUUUGUGUGGUCCGCAUCAGAGUUCAGCUGGACUUUCACACCUGCUCAAACGAAGGAAACAAACUCUGGUCCAGACCGAACAGCUCUGGUGUGAAAGCGACCUCUUGUAGGAUGGUCACUGUUACGUUGUUUUGUUUUGUUGUUUGUUUUUUUGCUUCAGGAUAUCGAUCUUGGCCUUGAUGAGACCUUUGACGUUGACCUGGAUAGGUGCUAGCGCUGGGGUUUUGGUCUGUUGUGAAGACAUUGGUUUCACAUAAAGGGCACGCAACCUUGCAUUUCACUUCUCUCAGGGGAGGCCCCGUGGAGGCUGUCUUCUUCUCCGAUGCUGCAAUGCAGAGGUGGGUUCUAGCAGACAGCGCCUACUGUGAAUGCGGAGACCCACUAAAGACCGUGGAACAUGUGAUGACCACAUAUACCGGCCACCAAAUACUGAUCGUGGCCUAAUCGACCUGGACGAUGACACGUUGGAUUGGCUUGCUGCAAUGGAGCUGAAGUUCUAGGGACAUAUGCAAGAAGAAGAAGGCUUCCCCGGCUCCCAGUACAGGUAAACAGAGGGAGGGGUCUACCUCUUUGCAAACAGGACCAGGUGCAGGUGCAGGCUGUGCAACGAUGCCCCCACGAGACCAUCUGUGCAGAUUACGGCUCAGAAGUCCCCGAUGGGACAUGCAACCGAAAGAGGUUCAGAACAUCCGAGAGAAUACCUACAAGUGAGACUUGGAGUUCGAGACUGAGAAGCAGCUGCCGACUGGUGAACGAUGAGCAGUUGUGGCCGUGAUAGAUGCAGCGUUCUCAGCUGACUGCAAUGUCGGGAAGACGGAGCGCGGAAGGGAAGUACUGACGGGAAAGGAUGUGGAGCGUAACUGAGUCUUUGCAGUCCAGCGAGAAGCUUAGAUCCUGCACAGCACCUUAGGCCUCUGGUAUGGUGACGCACUGGGUUGAAUCUCAGUAAAACCUGUUUACUGCACCUGCAUCUUUUCUUUCACGCAACGCCGUUCAUCAUAAAUCUUCAAUGAGCACGUCGGCAAUCCACAACGGGAGGGAAACUGAUCAGCGGUAUCUCAUCUGCAAACCGCCGCAGCGGAAGCUCGAGUGUUGCCACAUCGCAUGUCCUUUAUUGGUUUUUUCAGGAAUGAGGAAGUGUGUGAGGCAGCAUCUUUACGGGAAGGCAGCGAGCGAGGGAGGGAGGGGCGAAUGGGAAUGCACGUGGGCGGGGAGGUUAUGACAAAUAUUUGUUAAGACAGGAAGAGCGGGACGAGAAGAAGGCGAAGUACAAAGGUGAAAAAACUUUAAUUACAUUGGAGGCCCGGGUAAUCGCAUUUCUCGUCUUACUCACACUGCGGUCGGUUUGCCGCGUUCCCACCCAGAUUUCACAUCAUUAUUGUUCCUGUGUUACUACUUGCAUCCUCUUGGCAAACUUGUGGUUAUUAUGAAAGCAUGUGUUAGUUGGCAAAAGGCUGAGUUAUUCAUCUACUUUAGUUUGGGGCAACGUUACACUGUGUUCUUUAUUUUUUUUCGAAACGUCAUCAAAAGAGAAUGUGCUCCAGUUUUAGGAAACAGACAGAAUCUCCACCUCUUUAAUCCCUGUGUGAAAAUAAUCAAGUCCUCUCUACUUUAGCCCUGCAUCCUAUUUUUUUUUUUUAGGUCCAAAUCUGGUGUCGGUGUGUCUGUUCUCUCGCUCGCUGACAGGGGAGGGGAGGCUGACCUUUUCUCUUAAAGGACGUGGCAGCAGCCGGUGCGCUGUGUAAUGUGGUGAGUCAGCCCAAGAGGAAUGUGGUGCCCCCCCCUUUUCCUUUUCCUCCCUCCUCCCUCCUCCCUCCUCCCACCCCCAACAUCUCCUGGAAACCCUGCGCAGGUUCUCACAGAGCGAUGGAGCGUUUACAGAGUAAUAACCUCUGCGGCUGCUAACCCACAUUUCUCUCUUUUU